Daedaleopsis nitida is the source of this 87-nucleotide non-coding RNA. The record is from the annotation of a GenBank genome assembly. NCBI's taxonomy places the organism in Eukaryota, Fungi, Basidiomycota, Agaricomycetes, Polyporales, Polyporaceae.
GGACCCUUGGCGCAGCGGUAGCGCGUGAGAUUCCAGUACAUGAUUGCUGCUUCCUCAAGGUCAUCCGUUCAAAUCGGGUAGGGUUCA